UCUUGGUCUCAAAAGAAAGCUGAGAUUACUACUGAAGUGUCAAAAUCAAGAUAUGUGUUACUGUGACAGAAUACAUUUACCUGGAACACACUAGAAGAUGUAAAUGUUAUCUCAUUUUGU
Long non-coding RNA from Melanotaenia boesemani (Boeseman's rainbowfish), 120 nucleotides. RefSeq lists it as uncharacterized. The transcript has 3 exons. Lineage: Eukaryota; Metazoa; Chordata; Actinopteri; Atheriniformes; Melanotaeniidae. The record is from RefSeq and is a predicted model, not a curated record.